AAGGUGGGGAUGACGUCAAGUCAUCAUGCCCCUUACGUCCUGGGCUGCACACGUGCUACAAUGGCCGGUACAAUGGGCUGCGAUACCGCGAGGUGGAGCGAAUCCCAUAAAACCGGCCCCAGUUCGGAUCGAAGGCUGCAACUCGCCUUCGUGAAGUCGGAGUUGCUAGUAAUCGCGGAUCAGCAUGCCGCGGUCGAAUACGUUCCCGGGCCUU
RNAcentral lists this ribosomal RNA (214 nucleotides) under uncultured Coriobacteriaceae bacterium. RNAcentral describes it as "partial 16S ribosomal RNA". It matches the Rfam family "Bacterial small subunit ribosomal RNA", at positions 1170 to 1382 of the family's 1533-position model. The record is from RNAcentral. Lineage: Bacteria; Bacillati; Actinomycetota; Coriobacteriia; Coriobacteriales; Coriobacteriaceae.